Molecule: ribosomal RNA, 329 nt
Filed under: uncultured Spirochaetota bacterium
Lineage: Bacteria; Pseudomonadati; Spirochaetota
Description: bacterial SSU rRNA
Rfam family: Bacterial small subunit ribosomal RNA
Source: RNAcentral
AACGAACGCUGGCGGCGCGUUUUAAGCAUGCAAGUCGAACGGCAAGGGAGGUAGCAAUAUUUCCCUGAGAGUGGCGAACGGGUGAGUAACACGUAGGUGAUCUACCCUUGGAUGGGGGAUAGUCCGUGGAAACACGGGGUAAUACCGCAUGAGGCCUUGUGGGUAAAGCCAUGAGGUGAAAGGUGCAACUGCACCGUCUGGGGAUGAGCCUGCGGUCCAUUAGUUAGUUGGCGGGGUAAGGCCCACCAAGGCUGCGAUGGAUAGCCGGCCUGAGAGGGUGUACGGCCACACUGGAACUGAGACACGGUCCAGACUCCUACGGGUGGCUG